UAUGAACGCUGGCGGCGUGCCUAAUACAUGCAAGUCGAGCGAACAGAUGAGGAGCUUGCUCCUCUGACGUUAGCGGCGGACGGGUGAGUAACACGUGGAUAACCUACCUAUAAGACUGGGAUAACUUCGGGAAACCGGAGCUAAUACCGGAUAAUAUAUUGAACCGCAUGGUUCAAUAGUGAAAGACGGUUUUGCUGUCACUUAUAGAUGGAUCCGCGCCGCAUUAGCUAGUUGGUAAGGUAACGGCUUACCAAGGCAACGAUGCGUAGCCGACCUGAGAGGGUGAUCGGCCACACUGGAACUGAGACACGGUCCAGACUCCUACGGGAGGCAGCAGUAGGGAAUCUUCCGCAAUGGGCGAAAGCUUGACGGAGCAACGCCGCGUGAGUGAUGAAGGUCUUCGGAUCGUAAAACUCUGUUAUUAGGGAAGAACAAAUGUGUAAGUAACUAUGCACGUCUUGACGGUACCUAAUCAGAAAGCCACGGCUAACUACGUG
This 497-nucleotide ribosomal RNA is filed under the name uncultured bacterium. Its description in RNAcentral is "partial 16S ribosomal RNA". It matches the Rfam family "Bacterial small subunit ribosomal RNA", at positions 29 to 507 of the family's 1533-position model. The record is from RNAcentral.